This 482-nucleotide ribosomal RNA is filed under the name uncultured bacterium. RNAcentral describes it as "partial 16S ribosomal RNA". It matches the Rfam family "Bacterial small subunit ribosomal RNA", at positions 30 to 523 of the family's 1533-position model. The record is from RNAcentral.
AUUGAACGCUGGCGGCAGGCUUAACACAUGCAAGUCGAGCGGGGGAAGGUAGCUUGCUACCGGACCUAGCGGCGGACGGGUGAGUAACGCGUGGAUAAUCUGCUCUCGAAUGGGGAAUAACUAGUCGAAAGAUUAGCUAAUACCGCAUAAGACCACGACUACUGAGGUAGUUGGGGUCAAAGGAGCAAUUCGUUUGAGGAUGAGUCCGCGUAAGAUUAGCUAGUUGGUGAGGUAAUGGCUAACCAAGGCGAUGAUCUUUAACUGGUCUGAGGGGAUGAUCAGUCACACUGGAACUGAGACACGGUCCAGACUCCUACUGGAGGCAGCAGUAGGGAAUAUUGGACAAUGGGGGCAACCCUGAUCCAGCGACGCCGCGUGAGCGAUGAAGGCCUUCGGGUCGUAAAGCUCUGUUGUAAGGGAAAAAGUUCUGAUUGUACCUUACGAGAAAGGAUCGGCUAACUUCGUGCCAGCCGCCGCAGUAA